UGAGGAAUAUUGGUCAAUGGCCGGGGAGGCUGAACCAGCCAAGUCGCGUGAGGGAUGACGGUCCUAUGGAUUGUAAACCUCUUUUGUCGGGGAGCAAAAGGCAUCACGUGUGAUGCUCCGAGAGUACCCGAAGAAAAAGCAUCGGCUAACUCCGUGCC
This 158-nucleotide ribosomal RNA is filed under the name uncultured bacterium. RNAcentral's name for it is "partial 16S ribosomal RNA". It matches the Rfam family "Bacterial small subunit ribosomal RNA", at positions 355 to 509 of the family's 1533-position model. The record is from RNAcentral.